Molecule: long non-coding RNA, 2889 nt
Filed under: Exaiptasia diaphana
Lineage: Eukaryota; Metazoa; Cnidaria; Anthozoa; Actiniaria; Aiptasiidae
Description: uncharacterized LOC110232163
Source: RNAcentral
GUACCCUGCAGGUGCAUAUCAAGCGAUAUUUGCUUUGCCUUCAUCAAAACUCAGUCCAUAUUCUCUGCGAUACCAAGCAAGAAGAGACUUUCUCGACGGUCCUGUACUCGUCGGAACAUCAAACAAUUCGCCACUGUUUCUUUUCUCGUUAUCUGUUAGUAGUUUUUUUAUUUUGUUUUUCAGUUCCUCGUUGUUGUCUUUGGGUAGUGAACUAAGGAAAUCCGGAUAUAUACUUUGCGCUAUUUGUUUCGAAUUGGCAAAGUGAGUGUGUUUGACUCGAGUUUUGCAGCAUUGAUUAACACAUCCAAAGGCUUCUGGAUAACGAUGCUUUCUUGCUUGAUUGUAAUACUUACUACAAAGUGGAUCGGACAUUGUUCUGGGUCUAAGCUCAUCUCUUCUGACUUGUUCUACUUUUGUUUGAUUCAGAAUAACUUUGCUGUUAUCUCUGACAUGACAAUUGUCCUGUAAAGAUGCCUUAUGCAUGAUAGAUCCUCUUCACUUGGUUCAGCAGCUACGAGUUUAACCAAACCUUUGCGUUGUUAGUAGUGGUUUACAUUAAGCCUUGUUUGGGUUAAGUUUGAGUUAAUCGAGACGACUGCUAAGUUAUUAAAGAUGGAUGGAUUCCCUACAAUCCAGUGCAACUGAUUGAAUCAAUUAGCGCUUGUUACAACACCUUGCCAUAUCAACUCACCCUCGAUAUAACAAUCAAACACAGUAAUAUUAUGUCCAACAACUAAAGGAACGUAAACAAACAGCUUCGAUGAUAAUGUCUUACAGUGUCAUGCAGAAUGCGUCCAGCAGUGUCCUCAAAUUAUGCAAAUCACUUCCCUAAGGUAAUGUUACCAUGGAAACAAACAACUACGAAACAAAAGACUCAGGAAUUUCUGCGCAAAGGUUAUUGUUUUGCACAAAAGGCUGAUCUGUGCAUCAUUUCAAAAGGGACAUGUAUGUGCUGAUGACGAGCUGUGAUUUUAUGAAAGCUGUUUACAGCUGGUAUGAAGAUGCAGUCAAGGGUCUCCCUAAUCUCGUUUUUGUUGCUAGAGAUAUAUAUGGAAGCAAAAGCGAAUCAGAUGAAACUGAAUCAUUUCAUUAGACGCUGUUGACGUCAUCAUGUUUCCAUGGUGAUACGAUAUCCCUUAAAAGCUCACUAUCAACACAAAGCAUUCAGUUUAAACAGUUUGUGCAUUAUGUGCCGUUUUACAUAUGACCAGUGCUCGAUCGAGUGUUUGACUGUCAAUGUUUCUAAUAAGGAAUCGUUUAGAUUAAGAGCUGUCAAUAAGGUUUUGAGAGUUCUCCCUACUAUUGACGAACUACAGGAGGAUGCCGGGAAGGAUGAGAGUGAAACUACAAGCAAAUAUUGCUCGCCGAUAAGCAAUCUGGGAACAUUUCUCCAGUCCAACAAUGGUAGCAAGGAUGGUGAAUAUUGGCUUUUUAACAAAACCCCAACCUUUGAUAAGUUAACUUACAAAAGAAAAAAAGAGCUAAACCGCACAUCAGGCUUUCAAGGGUUCGGAGAUUUCUUCCCUCAGGAUUUUACCAGCGAAUUCAGCGUCAAUGAUACAGCAGGGAUUGGUAUCAAGAAAUACCUGGAAAAACAACAACUUGAAUUUGAUAAACUAAACUGUAGGGAGCAAGAGUUGAAAGUAAUUCACAAGAACCAAUGUCCUGAAGUUCAGUCAUGGCUGCAUUUCUUUGGGUAAAAAAGAAAAAGGAGUACCAGCUUACAGUAUUGAAUUGCUAUUAACAUAUACAGUAUUUUGAAUGAAUAUUAACUUGUAGAAAACCUGAGCACAUCAGUGCAAGAAACACACGGACAUCCAAGACAUCAUAUUGCGUCAUCCGUACAUUGAUGACACUCAAUGUGUGUUGGAUUAUACAGGAAAGACUUCAUUAAAAAAAACAACCUCGAUAGAAAACCAUGGAUUCACUGAUAAGGUAAUCAGAAAGAGACUGGUUUUCUGGAAACGAUUAUCAGAAGGGAGAGGAAAAAAGUUUCACUGACUUUAUAUCUGAUAUGUAUUCGCUCUGUGAAUGUCCUAAUAUGCACUAACUGUUCAAAUAUCACUUGUUUAUAUAGAAUAUUAUUUACUAAAGUUAUAAAUUAAUUGUAAAUAUAACACAUUAACAGUCUGUCUAUUGUUGCUGGUCCUUUUCACGUCCCACAGUCCUAAUGUAAAUUCAAUGUAAAUAUUUUUUAAACAAAUUAUCUCCCAACAUUCUAACUAAGACUGAAAAAGAACGAUUUUAACGGUAUGAAAUAGUAUAAUCAUUUUAACAGCGAGAAGUAAAGUGUCUUUUAGAAGGAAACCAAAUGGGUUACUAGUAAAGAAAAUCUUUUGCGCACUUGUGCUCCAUGUCAAUAUAUGUCCACGAAAUUACGUCUGAAACAGAGCGCAUUUCUAGAAAAUAACGCUACAGGAUUUUGACUAGAGAGAAAUACAUCAAAACAAUAAUGACGUUAUACGAAUAUUGGCAUAUUAUCUCAGCUGGAUAUGAUCAAUAUAUUUUGACAUUGUUGUCUCAAAACCCCCGUAAUAAGUUACUGUCAAUAUCGACAUUUUUCUAGAAAUCUCCCGCCAAAAAUCUCUGGCGAGUUUUACUCGGUGAAAACAGACAGAUUUUUUUUCUUUGUAGUCAAAUCCACACACCAUACUUAAAUUGAACCUUCUCUUCCCUAAUGCUUGUAUUUACAAUAAUGUCUUUCUAAAUAUAUAAAAUCAAUUAAUGCUUUGACUGGCGGCUUUUUCCUGUGAAACGUUUAAUGUCAAAAAUGCAUUUCGCAACAUGGCGUAUAUUAUUUUUAUGUUGAUGGUGGACGUGGCGCCUUGCACGCUCUAUCGCACCAGCUGAUACACGAUACUCUUUUUGUCAAAAUGUUUGCGAAAUACA